GGGUCUAUAGCUCAGUUGGCUAGAGCAUGCGGUUCAUACCCGCAGUGUCAGUGGUUCGAGUCCACUUAGACCCACCA
This 77-nucleotide transfer RNA is filed under the name Bacillota bacterium. RNAcentral describes it as "tRNA-Met". It matches the Rfam family "tRNA". Rfam says of the family: Transfer RNA (tRNA) molecules are approximately 80 nucleotides in length. The record is from RNAcentral. RNAcentral also lists the same sequence under 2 other names. Lineage: Bacteria; Bacillati; Bacillota.